CUACGGGUGGCUCCAGUGGGGAAUAUUGCACAAUGGAGGAAACUCUGAUGCAGCAACGCCGCGUGGAGGAUGACACUUUUCGGAGCGUAAACUCCUUUUAUAUAGGAAGAAGAUGACGGUACUAUAUGAAUAAGCGCCGGCUAAAUCCGUGCCAGCAGCCGCGGUAAUACGGAGGGCGCAAGCGUUACUCGGAAUCACUGGGCGUAAAGAGCGUGUAGGCGGAUUAAAAAGUCAGAAGUGAAAUCCUAUAGCUUAACUAUAGAACUGCUUCUGUAACUCUUAAUCUAGAAUAUGGGAGAGGUAGAUGGAAUUUCUGGUGUAGGGGUAAAAUCCGUAGAGAUCAGAAGGAAUACCGAUUGCGAAGGCGAUCUACUAGAACAUUAUUGACGCUGAGACGCGAAAGCGUGGGGAGCAAACAGGAUUAGAUACCCCUGUAGUC
This 439-nucleotide ribosomal RNA is filed under the name uncultured bacterium. RNAcentral's name for it is "partial 16S ribosomal RNA". It matches the Rfam family "Bacterial small subunit ribosomal RNA", at positions 339 to 795 of the family's 1533-position model. The record is from RNAcentral.